This 77-nucleotide transfer RNA is filed under the name Gemmatimonadota bacterium. Its description in RNAcentral is "Gemmatimonadetes bacterium (freshwater metagenome) tRNA-Glu". It matches the Rfam family "tRNA". From Rfam's summary of the family: Transfer RNA (tRNA) molecules are approximately 80 nucleotides in length. Lineage: Bacteria; Pseudomonadati; Gemmatimonadota. The record is from RNAcentral.
CGCUAUCGUCUAGAGGCCUAGGACAUAGCCCUCUCAAGGCUAGAACACGGGUUCGAAUCCCGUUAGCGGUAUGACCA